This 600-nucleotide ribosomal RNA is filed under the name uncultured Alphaproteobacteria bacterium. RNAcentral describes it as "bacterial SSU rRNA". It matches the Rfam family "Bacterial small subunit ribosomal RNA", at positions 54 to 691 of the family's 1533-position model. Lineage: Bacteria; Pseudomonadati; Pseudomonadota; Alphaproteobacteria. The record is from RNAcentral.
CAUGCAAGUCGAGCGAGAAGCUAACUUCGGUUAGUGGACAGCGGCGCACGGGUGAGUAACGCGUGGGAAUUUACCUUUCGGCGGGGGACAACAGUUGGAAACGACUGCUAAUACCGCAUACGCCCUACGGGGGAAAGAUUUAUCACCGAAAGAUAGGCCCGCGUUAGAUUAAGUAGUUGGUAGGGUCAAAGCCUACCAAGCCGACGAUCUAUAGCUGGUUUGAGAGAACGAUCAGCCACACUGGAACUGAGACACGGUCCAGACUCCUACGGGAGGCAGCAGUGGGGAAUCUUGCACAAUGGGCGAAAGCCUGAUGCAGCCAUGCCGCGUGAGUGCUAAGGCCUUCGGGUUGUAAAACUCUUUUAGAUGUGAAGAUGAUGACGGUAACAUCAGAAAGAGCACCGGCUAACUUCGUGCCAGCAGCCGCGGUAAUACGAAGGGUGCUAGCGUUGUUCGGAAUUACUGGGCGUAAAGAGCGUGUAGGCGGCUUAGCAAGUUAGAGGUGAAAUCCCAGGGCUCAACCCUGGAACUGCCUUUGAUACUGCUAAGCUUGAGAUCGUGAGGGGAUAGCGGAAUACCCAGUGUAGAGGUGAAAUUCGU